RNAcentral lists this ribosomal RNA (1435 nucleotides) under uncultured organism. RNAcentral describes it as "16S ribosomal RNA". It matches the Rfam family "Bacterial small subunit ribosomal RNA". The record is from RNAcentral.
GACGAACGCUGGCGGCGUGCUUAACACAUGCAAGUCGAACGGAAAGGCCCUGCUUUUGUGGGGUGCUCGAGUGGCGAACGGGUGAGUAACACGUGAGUAACCUGCCCUUGACUUUGGGAUAACUUCAGGAAACUGGGGCUAAUACCGGAUAGGAGCUCCUGCUGCAUGGUGGGGGUUGGAAAGUUUCGGCGGUUGGGGAUGGACUCGCGGCUUAUCAGCUUGUUGGUGGGGUAGUGGCUUACCAAGGCUUUGACGGGUAGCCGGCCUGAGAGGGUGACCGGCCACAUUGGGACUGAGAUACGGCCCAGACUCCUACGGGAGGCAGCAGUGGGGAAUAUUGCACAAUGGGCGGAAGCCUGAUGCAGCAACGCCGCGUGCGGGAUGACGGCCUUCGGGUUGUAAACCGCUUUCGCCUGUGACGAAGCGUGAGUGACGGUAAUGGGUAAAGAAGCACCGGCUAACUACGUGCUAGCAGCCGCGGUGAUACGUAGGGUGCGAGCGUUGUCCGGAUUUAUUGGGCGUAAAGGGCUCGUAGGUGGUUGAUCGCGUCGGAAGUGUAAUCUUGGGGCUUAACCCUGAGCGUGCUUUCGAUACGGGUUGACUUGAGGAAGGUAGGGGAGAAUGGAAUUCCUGGUGGAGCGGUGGAAUGCGCAGAUAUCAGGAGGAACACCAGUGGCGAAGGCGGUUCUCUGGGCCUUUCCUGACGCUGAGGAGCGAAAGCGUGGGGAGCGAACAGGCUUAGAUACCCUGGUAGUCCACGCUGUAAACGGUGGGUACUAGGUGUGGGGUCCAUUCCACGGGUUCCGUGCCGUAGCUAACGCUUUAAGUACCCCGCCUGGGGAGUACGGCCGCAAGGCUAAAACUCAAAGGAAUUGACGGGGCCCCGCACAAGCGGCGGAGCAUGCGGAUUAAUUCGAUGCAACGCGUAGAACCUUACCUGGGUUUGACAUGGAUCGGGAGUGCUCAGAGAUGGGUGUGCCUCUUUUGGGGUCGGUUCACAGGUGGUGCAUGCCUGUCGUCAGCUCGUGUCGUGAGAUGUUGGGUUAAGUCCCGCAACGAGCGCAACCCUUGUUCACUGUUGCCAGCACGUUAUGGUGGGGACUCAGUGGAGACCGCCGGGGUCAACUCGGAGGAAGGUGGGGAUGACGUCAAGUCCUCAUGCCCCUUAUGUCCAGGGCUUCACGCAUGCUACAAUGGCUGGUACAGAGAGUGGCGAGCCUGUGAGGGUGAGCGAAUCUCGGAAAGCCGGUCUCAGUUCGGAUUGGGGUCUGCAACUCGACCUCAUGAAGUCGGAGUCGCUAGUAAUCGCAGAUCAGCAACGCUGCGGUGAAUACGUUCCCGGGGCUUGUACACACCGCCCGUCAAGUCAUGAAAGUUGGUAACACCCGAAGCCGGUGGCCUAACCGUUGUGGGGGAGCCGUCGAAGGUGGGACUG